This 458-nucleotide ribosomal RNA is filed under the name uncultured bacterium. Its description in RNAcentral is "partial 16S ribosomal RNA". It matches the Rfam family "Bacterial small subunit ribosomal RNA", at positions 338 to 795 of the family's 1533-position model. The record is from RNAcentral.
CCUACGGGUGGCAGCAGUGGGGAAUAUUGCACAAUGGGGGAAACCCUGAUGCAGCGACGCCGCGUGAGUGAAGAAGUAACUCGUUACGUAAAGCUCUAUCAGCAGGGAAGAAAUACUGACCUUACGGUCAGCAGACGGUACCUGAGUAAGAAGCCCCGGCUAACUACGUGCCAGCAGCCGCGGUAAUACGUAGGGGGCAAGCGUUAUCCGGAUUUAUUGGGUGGAAAGGGAGCGUAGGCGGUUUAGCAAGUCAGAAGUGAAAGCCCGGGGCUCAACUCCGGGACUGCUUUUGAAACUGUUGAACUAGAUUGCAGGAGAGGUAGGUGGAAUUCCUAGUGUAGCGGUGAAAUGCGUAGAUAUUAGGAGGAACACCAGUGGCGAAGGCGGCUUACUGGACUGUAAAUGACGCUGAGGCUCGAAAGCGUGGGGAGCAAACAGGAUUAGAUACCCCUGUAGUC